GCUCUCUUUGGCAGCACAUAUACUAAAAUUGGAACGAUAUAGAGAAAAUUAGCAUGGCCCCUGUGAAAGGAUAACAUGCAAAUUUGUGAAGCGUUCCCUGUUUUU
Capra hircus (goat) is the source of this 105-nucleotide small nuclear RNA. Lineage: Eukaryota; Metazoa; Chordata; Mammalia; Artiodactyla; Bovidae. The record is from Ensembl.